UACGUAGGGUCCGAGCGUUGUCCGGAAUUAUUGGGCGUAAAGGGCUCGUAGGCGGUUUGUCGCGUCGGGAGUGAAAACGCCGGGCUUAACCCGGUGCUUGCUUUCGAUACGGGCAGACUGGAGGUAUGCAGGGGAGAACGGGAUUCCUGGUGUAGCGGUGAAAUGCGCAGAUAUCAGGAGGAACACCGGUGGCGAAGGCGGUUCUCUGGGCAUGACCUGACGCUGAGGAGCGAAAGUGUGGGGAGCGAACAGG
RNAcentral lists this ribosomal RNA (253 nucleotides) under uncultured bacterium. RNAcentral describes it as "partial 16S ribosomal RNA". It matches the Rfam family "Bacterial small subunit ribosomal RNA", at positions 524 to 776 of the family's 1533-position model. The record is from RNAcentral.